This 404-nucleotide ribosomal RNA is filed under the name uncultured bacterium. RNAcentral describes it as "bacterial SSU rRNA". It matches the Rfam family "Bacterial small subunit ribosomal RNA", at positions 356 to 775 of the family's 1533-position model. The record is from RNAcentral.
GGGGAAUAUUGGGCAAUGGGGGCAACCCUGACCCAGCGACGCCGCGUGGGGGAAGACGGCCUUCGGGUUGUAAACCUCUUUUGUACGGGAAGAAGGAAGUGACGGUACUGUACGAAUAAGUCCCGGCUAACUACGUGCCAGCAGCCGCGGUAAUACGUAGGGGACGAGCGUUGUCCGGAAUUACUGGGCGUGAAGGGCGCGCAGGCUGUGCUGCAAGUCAGCUGUUAAAUGUCUGGGCUUAACCCGGGCAUGCGGUUGAGACUGCGGUGCUGGAGUGCUGUAGAGGCAAGUGGAAUUCCCAGUGUAGCGGUGAAAUGCGUAGAUAUUGGGAAGAACACCGGUGGCGAAGGCGACUUGCUGGGCAGCAACUGACGCUGAGGCGCGAAAGCCAGGGGAGCAAACGG